This 75-nucleotide transfer RNA is filed under the name Methylobacterium sp. 4-46. RNAcentral describes it as "tRNA-Ile2 (CAT) (tRNA-Ile2-CAT-4-1)". RNAcentral also lists the same sequence under 1 other name. The record is from RNAcentral. Lineage: Bacteria; Pseudomonadati; Pseudomonadota; Alphaproteobacteria; Hyphomicrobiales; Methylobacteriaceae.
GUGCCCGUGGCUCAACGGUUAGAGCCGGCCGCUCAUAACGGUCUCGUUGCAGGGUCACGUCUUGCCGGGCCACCA